GCCUCGGUGGUGUAAUGGUAAAGUACGCGCCCCUGGUAUGGCUGAAACUGUGGUUCGAUUUCCGUCUGAGGCC
Parelaphostrongylus tenuis is the source of this 73-nucleotide non-coding RNA. Lineage: Eukaryota; Metazoa; Nematoda; Chromadorea; Rhabditida; Metastrongylidae. The record is from the annotation of a GenBank genome assembly.